CUUUUCAGUUCUGUCUUCCUGAGGCUGCUGUUUCUGGGCAUGGCCAGGGGAUCUUCAGACUUUACAAACCAGUUGUGCAGAGCCAGGCAUUUCAAUAAGGAACAAAAUGCUGAGUAACAACAUGAAGUCAGAGUGUUGCUUGCCAAGAGCUGGGAGGCCUGGGUGGUUUCCCAAUCUUAAAGAAGCAGAAGGAUAUUAAAGUGAGCCUCCCAAAGGAAAACGUGGAUCUACUUACCAACGCAGAAAAUGAUACACACGGAUUCGAUUUAGUCAUGUGCCUGGGAAAGAUUGAUGCCAGCUCCAGAAAGGCAUCCGAAUGGUCUAAAAUUCUGGAGGAAAGUGGCUCUGGGAAUUGAACAGUGGCUCAGUGAUGUUGGGGCCACCAAGUCUGCAAUUCUCCCUACCUGUUCUUCAUGGUUGUAAGAUGACUGCUGCAAUUCUCGGCAUCAUGUGCAUGUUAAUGUCAGGAGGAAGAAAGGAAGAGGGAGCACUGGGAUGUUACAUUCAUUUUGUCAGGAAAAGCAAAGCCUUUCCAGACAGCUCCGAAACUUGCUUACCUCUCAUUGGCCAGCACCAUCACUUGACCACUUGUCCACUCCUAGCUGCAAGGAAAGUGGCAAAGUAGAAGGUAUUUGAGAAUGUCUGCUGGGUUAGCCAAAACAAUAGUGACUUCUACACCCAAUUUUCUGGGCACUGCAGAAGUAUCCUUGAGUCCUAUGUGAUCAGAGGGAGAGCAAACCUCAAUAAUGAAACAGAUUCAAUUUCCAUCACCCAGUGAGACACCAUGGGAUUAGAAUAAAUUUUUAAAAAAACAAAUUGAAAAAAAUGCAUUUUUAAAACAACAAAAUCAGAAAGGAUGAAAGGUGAUAUUUCUAGCAUAUCAGUUUGUGGUGGUAAAUUAAUUACCUUAUACAAAGGCCUCAGUGACUUUCUUCUCCUUACCUAACGAAUCAUCUUUAAAAUAAGUAAAAUAAAGAAACAAGAGCAGCAGCAGAUGCUUCCUAAAAAGAAGUUACCAAAUCUGUUCACCACAAACCUGAGAAUUCAACUGUGGACAUUUGGACACCAGCAAUGAACAUGAAACUCAGCUUAUGAGGCAUAUUUGGCUAAAGGUCAAGGUGACUUAAAGUUCAUCAUAGGACAUCUACAAUUUGCAAAGCAGGUGACUGGAUAUGGACUCCUUCCAAGUCUCAUUUAAUUGGAUAAUGCCUACGUUUUAAGUAUCAGAAGUGAGUCUUUCUCUAUUAAAUGAAGUCAGUUCCACUAAAACCUAAAUCUUGUUUGGCAGGCACUCCAUGUUUCUUAAUUUUUAUUCCAUGCUGUAUAUUCUUUUAGACUUGAUUUUCACUUUUUUUUCUUUUUUCCUGUACAUUUAUCUUUGCUGUGAAACAAAGUGCCCUGCUUUGAAGGACAGGUUUGUGGGCUGCUGGUGGUGAGACAACAGCAGUCCUUCCAAGUCUUCCUCCCAUCACUCUGUUAGCUCUCCCUUUGUUUUUAAUUAGCAUUACACCAGUUAAUUCUGUUAUCUCUUAACCCUGGUUCUGCAUCCUCUUCUUCUUUUCUAUUCCUUACUCCGCUCCUGUUUUUUCUUGUUCUGCUUUUCCAAGAAAUGUCUUGUCUCCUCAUCAGUUGACUGUCUUCUCUUUCCAGAGGGACCAUAAAGGUGCCAGCCUAAGGAACACGUAAAACGUGGGAACAGACAAACAAGCUGCUGCCUAUUACAGAGAUAGAUAAUUAACUUUGGACCAUUACAUGCAAUUCAUCAGCUUAUCUUUUUCAAACUUUAUAUAAGAAGUCAUUUCCCAAUGGUAACCACUUGCCAGCUGCAACUUUGACGCAUAUUAUCAGGAUAGGUGAGAUUGAUGGGGGCCCUUUGAACUCUUCCCAGGGAAUUAUCUUUAUAAUGUUACAGUUUUCUCUAUAGCAUGGUCAUAUUGUUAACAUUGGUUAUAAGGUCAUAUGGUUAGUAUGGUUAGUAUUGGUGGCUCACAGCUGUAAUACCAGCACUUUGGGAGGCCAAGGUGGGAGGAUCACUUGAGCCCUGGUGUUCAAAACCAGCUCUGGAAACAUAGCAAGACCUUGUCUCUACAAAAAAAAAUUAAAUAAAUUAAAAGAUUAGCUGGGCAUGGUGGCACAUGCCUGUAGUCCUCACUACUUGGGAAACUAAGGUGGGAGGAUCCUUUGAGCUUGGGAGGUUGAGGCUGCAGUGAGCUGUGGUUGUGCCAUGGCACUCCAGCCUGGGUGACAGAGUGAGAGCCUGUCUCAAAAAAAAAAAAAAAAAAAAAAAAAAGUACCUGUAAGGUCUUUGGGAUUUUGAAGAUGAAAGGUGUUGCAUAAAUUGAAUGAAUUCACUUAGAGAGAUAGAAGGCAACUACAGGGAAUAUUACGUACAUCAUGGAGCGGAAAGCACUAAGGCCUGUGGAAUUAUUCUCAGUGACACGUCGUUGAGGGCAGUGGUCCACAUGUUUUGAACAUGGUUUCUCCCAGGUGAAAAGGAUGAGUAAUUUGUUCUCCUUCACAUGUGUGUAUGUAGGUCUUAUACACAGCAGAUUUGCCACAAAACAAAUGAAGAUUACACUUUGGGCCCCUCUCUCACAUGAGCCCCUUCCAAAGUUCUGUUUGCUAAUUUUACAUUUUGUAAUUUCUUAUUAUUUUUCUUAAAGAAGCCUCCUCCAAUUGCAUAAACUUCAAGCCUCACAAAAUUUGGAUCCAUACCUGAGCCAACAUACAAUACAAUUUUCCAUUUCUAACUUUUAGUUGUACCUAGUGUUUUAUUGGAAAUGAUCAAGUACAUGAGUGGUGUCUUUUUAAAAAAUUUACUUUAUUUGCUUCUCUAGCUUCAUCGUUAGUUAGGCAGUUAAAUCUAACCAUUUGGAGGUAUUUUCAUAUAACCUCCAUUGAGGACAAUUUGGCAAUAGCUUUUAAAAUUAUAAAUAUAUUUGUACAGUUAUAAGCUGCCAUAUCUAUAAAACUAUUUGAUAGACAAAAGUUGAAAACCCUCCAAGAGCUCAUCAAUAAAAGAUUAAAUUAAUUAUGAUACAUCCAUAUGAGCACUGAGCAGCUGUGAAAAAAAUGAGGAAGUAAUUCCUGUGCUGAUAUGGGAAGACUUCCAAGACAUGUUGUUAAGUACAGAAUGGUGUAUACAGUAUGCUAUAUAGUGUGGUAAAAGGUUUAGGGAUAAGCAUUUAUAUUUAUAACUGUUUAUAUUUACAUAAAGUAAUUCUGAAAGGAUACAAAAAAGCUAACAAAAGAGAUUACCUGUGGUAGUGUGGGGCUUGGGGAUUGGAUGGGUGAGAAACAGUAGUGGAAAUGAGAUAUUGUACAGUUUAAGGCAUUAUACACCUAUAAAAACAUGGGAAUGUAUUACCUACUCAAAAAGUGAAAUUAAGAGAGAUACAAGAAACUGUUUGGAUGUUCCUUCCCGUUUCAAUGUAUCUAUAUUUUUUCAGCCCUCAAAGUUAUUAUAAAUGUCAUUAUAAUAACUUCAUAAAGCUUCCCCUAUAAUGAGAAUCUUACCAUUCUCCUAACUCCAAUAGCACUGUAAUCCACCUCUGUUAGGACACAUCACUCUUCAUCAUGUGUGAUUAUUAUUUGCAGAUAUCAUCUUCAAGGCUCUUCUCUAUUUACCACCUGCCAUUCUUGUUCUCACCUCUACAUGACCUUCACAUUUUAUUUCUCUCGGUUUUUUGGACAAGCUACAUUCCCUUCCACAGAGAAGGCUUCCCUGACCCCUUUCACUUGGUUGGAUUACCUUGCUAUUCUUUUCUAUCUUUGUACAUUCCUUUUCAAAAUACUUAUCUCCCUUGUUGUUACCUAUAAUGUCUGUCUUCUUUACUCAAGAGUCUAGACAAAAAGCUCCACGCCAGCCUCGGCUGUGUUUGUAUUGUUUACGUCUGUGUUCCUAGUGCUUAAUAAAAUACCUAGCAAGGGUUAAUAAGUACUUGUUGACUGGAAGGGAAUGACUUCCUUCCCUUACUAGAGAGUGAUUUCCUUACAGGCGAGAUGUGUCAACCUUCUAUAGCCCACAUAAAAUAAAGGACAAUAUCUCCUAUUGGAUAAAAGACAAAAAAAAAAAAAAAA
Molecule: long non-coding RNA, 4080 nt
Filed under: Homo sapiens (human)
Lineage: Eukaryota; Metazoa; Chordata; Mammalia; Primates; Hominidae
Description: long independently transcribed non-coding RNA 1094, transcript variant 6 (LINC01094)
Source: RNAcentral